GAUGAACGCUGGCGGCGUGCCUAAUACAUGCAAGUCGAGCGAACAGACGAGGAGCUUGCUCCUCUGACGUUAGCGGCGGACGGGUGAGUAACACGUGGAUAACCUACCUAUAAGACUGGGAUAACUUCGGGAAACCGGAGCUAAUACCGGAUAAUAUAUUGAACCGCAUGGUUCAAUAGUGAAAGACGGUUUUGCUGUCACUUAUAGAUGGAUCCGCGCCGCAUUAGCUAGUUGGUAAGGUAACGGCUUACCAAGGCAACGAUGCGUAGCCGACCUGAGAGGGUGAUCGGCCACACGGGAACUGAGACCCGGUCCAGACUCCUACGGGAGGCAGCAGUAGGGAAUCUUCCGCAAUGGGCGAAAGCUUGACGGAGCAACGCCGCGUGAGUGAUGAAGGUCUUCGGAUCGUAAAACUCUGUUAUUAGGGAAGAACAAAUGUGUAAGUAACUAUGCACGUCUUGACGGUACCUAAUCAGAAAGCCACGGCUAACUACGUG
Molecule: ribosomal RNA, 497 nt
Filed under: uncultured bacterium
Lineage: Bacteria
Description: partial 16S ribosomal RNA
Rfam family: Bacterial small subunit ribosomal RNA
Source: RNAcentral